RNAcentral lists this ribosomal RNA (138 nucleotides) under uncultured eukaryote. RNAcentral describes it as "partial 18S ribosomal RNA". It matches the Rfam family "Eukaryotic small subunit ribosomal RNA", at positions 1299 to 1458 of the family's 1831-position model. The record is from RNAcentral.
UGGUGGAGCGAUUUGUCUGGUUAAUUCCGAUAACGAACGAGAUCUUAACCUGCUAAAUAGCUGUCAGAUGAUUGUUUUUGAUCUAGCUUCUUAGAGGGACUUUGUGGUUUAAACAUGAGGAAGUUUGAGGCAAUAACA